UACGAAGGUGACAAGCGUUGUCCGGAUUUACUGGGCGUAAAGAGCGCGCAGGCGGUCGAUCGAGUCGAGUGUGAAAGCCCCCGGCUCAACUGGGGAGGGUCAUUCGAUACUGAUCGACUCGAAGGCAGGAGAAGGUAGUGGAAUUCCCGGUGUAGUGGUGGAAUGCGUAGAUAUCGGGAGGAACACCAGUGGCGAAGGCGACUACCUGGCCUGUUAUUGACGCUGAGGCGCGAAAGCUAGGGGAGCAAACGGG
RNAcentral lists this ribosomal RNA (253 nucleotides) under uncultured bacterium. RNAcentral describes it as "partial 16S ribosomal RNA". It matches the Rfam family "Bacterial small subunit ribosomal RNA", at positions 524 to 776 of the family's 1533-position model. The record is from RNAcentral.